AUGUGUAUCGUAGAUUGCUUUCUUUCUUAUUAUCUACGUUCUCUUCAUUUUUCUCAUCUGGUGUGAGGAUAAUAAAUACAGUAAGUAGU
Molecule: non-coding RNA, 89 nt
Filed under: Fragilariopsis kerguelensis
Lineage: Eukaryota; Bacillariophyta; Bacillariophyceae; Bacillariales; Bacillariaceae
Source: RNAcentral